This is a long non-coding RNA of Toxotes jaculatrix (banded archerfish), 319 nucleotides long. RefSeq lists it as uncharacterized. The record is from RefSeq and is a predicted model, not a curated record. The transcript is spliced from 3 exons. Lineage: Eukaryota; Metazoa; Chordata; Actinopteri; Toxotidae.
CUGUCUCCAGCAACUGCCAAGGCUAAAGGAAUCGUUCCUCAGCAACUGGUAUAUAUUUAUACGCAAACACACAUGCUAGAAAGAUUCCUUGCCCAAGAUGAUGAAAGAACUCUAAACACAAAACCUAGAAGGGCAUUGGAUGUCGCAGACGAUGGAUUAGUUUCAAUUAUGGUGUACAAGGGAGAUAUAACACCUAAAUCUGAUAUCAAGCGGUGCUAAAAGAAACAGGUCUCUGAAGGGAUACGAGCAUGGAUGAAGAAACGAGUCAGACUCCAAUGAAGGGAUGUUGCAGUGUUCGCAAAUACAAUCAACUAAUUUG